GAUCCUGCCGGAGGUCAUUGCUAUUGGAGUCCGAUUUAGCCAUGCUAGUUGUACGAGUUUAGACUCGUAGCAGAUAGCUCAGUAACACGUGGCCAAACUACCCUAUAGAUCCGGAUAACCUCGGGAAACUGAGGCUAAUCCGGAAUAGGGCUCUCAUCCUGGAGUGGAGAGAGCCUGAAACGCCCCGGCGCUAUAGGAUGUGGCUGCGGCCGAUUAGGUAGACGGUGGGGUAACGGCCCACCGUGCCAGUAAUCGGUACGGGUUGUGAGAGCAAGAGCCCGGAGACGGUAUCUGAGACAAGAUACCGGGCCCUACGGGGCGCAGCAGGCGCGAAACCUUUACACUGCACGCCAGUGCGAUAAGGGGACUCCAAGUGCGAGGGCAUAUAGUCCUCGCUUUUUGCGACCGUAAGGUGGUCGCGGAAUAAGUGCUGGGCAAGACCGGUGCCAGCCGCCGCGGUAAUACCGGCAGCACGAGUGAUGACCGCUGUUAUUGGGCCUAAAGCGUCCGUAGCUGGCCGCGCAAGUCUAUCGGGAAAUCUCUUCGCUUAACGGAGAGGCGUCCGGUGGAAACUGUGUGGCUUGGGACCGGAAGACCAGAGGGGUACGUCUGGGGUAGGAGUGAAAUCCCGUAAUCCUGGACGGACCACCGGUGGCGAAAGCGCCUCUGGAAGACGGAUCCGACGGUGAGGGACGAAAGCUCGGGUCACGAACCGGAUUAGAUACCCGGGUAGUCCGAGCUGUAAACGAUGUCUGCUAGGUGUGACACAGGCUACGAGCCUGUGUUGUGCCGUAGGGAAGCCGUGAAGCAGACCGCCUGGGAAGUACGUCCGCAAGGAUGAAACUUAAAGGAAUUGGCGGGGGAGCACUACAACCGGAGGAGCCUGCGGUUUAAUUGGACUCAACGCCCGGACAUCUCACCAGCAUCGACAUGUGCAGUGACGGUCAGUAUGAUGAGCUUACCUGAGCAAUGAUAGGAGGUGCAUGGCCGUCCGUCCACCUCGUACGGUGAGACGUCCUGUUUAGUCAAGGCAACCGACGAAACCCCACCCUUAUAUGCCAGCAGCACCCUUGUUGUGGGCUGGGUGACUUAUAAGGAAUGCACAGGUCCCUAAUGGAGGAAGGAACAGGCAACGUAUGUAUAUGCUCCCCCAUCGUAUCUGGGGCGACACGCGCUCAUGGUCAAAAAUGGAUGUCGAUCCCAAGGGAGCAAUCCUAACUCAGUCUGUAUGGAUGAGAGGCUGAAAUUAGCUCCUUCGUGCCAUGUAC
RNAcentral lists this ribosomal RNA (1268 nucleotides) under Halorubrum sp. B20-RDX. RNAcentral describes it as "bacterial SSU rRNA". It matches the Rfam family "Archaeal small subunit ribosomal RNA", at positions 10 to 1288 of the family's 1478-position model. The record is from RNAcentral. RNAcentral also lists the same sequence under 1 other name. Lineage: Archaea; Methanobacteriati; Methanobacteriota; Halobacteria; Halobacteriales; Haloferacaceae.